RNAcentral lists this ribosomal RNA (450 nucleotides) under uncultured bacterium. RNAcentral describes it as "partial 16S ribosomal RNA". It matches the Rfam family "Bacterial small subunit ribosomal RNA", at positions 338 to 795 of the family's 1533-position model. The record is from RNAcentral.
CCUACGGGCGGCUGCAGUGGGGAAUUUUGGACAAUGGGGGCAACCCUGAUCCAGCCAUGCCGCGUGCGGGAAGAAGGCCUUCGGGUUGUAAACCGCUUUUGUCAGGGAAGAAAUCUUCCGAGCUAAUACCUUGGGAGGAUGACGGUACCUGAAGAAUAAGCACCGGCUAACUACGUGCCAGCAGCCGCGGUAAUACGUAGGGUGCUAGCGUUAAUCGGAGCUACUGCAGGCAAAGCGUGCAGACGCGGUUGAAAUCCCCGGGCUUAACCUGGGAACUGCACGUGUGACUGUACGGCUGGAGUACGGCAGAGGGGGAUGGAAUUCCGCGUGUAGCAGUGAAAUGCGUAGAUAUGCGGAGGAACACCGAUGGCGAAGGCAGUCCCCUGGGCCUGUACUGACGCUCAUGCACGAAAGCGUGGGGAGCAAACAGGAUUAGAUACCCUAGUAGUC